GUGGGGAAUAUUGGACAAUGGGGGGAACCCUGAUCCAGCCAUGCCGCGUGUGUGAAGAAGGCCUUUUGGUUGUAAAGCACUUUAAGCGAGGAGGAGGCUACCGAGAUUAAUACUCUUGGAUAGUGGACGUUACUCGCAGAAUAAGCACCGGCUAACUCUGUGCCAGCAGCCGCGGUAAUAAAGAGGGUGAAAGCGUUAAUCGGAUUUACUGGGCGUAAAGCGCGCGUAGGUGGCCAAUUAAGUCAAAUGUGAAAUCCCCGGGCUUAACUUGGGAAUUGCAUUCGAUACUGGUUGGCUAGAGUAUGGGAGAGGAUGGUAGAAUUCCAGGUGUAGCGGUGAAAUGCGUAGAGAUCUGGAGGAAUACCGAUGGCGAAGGCAGCCAUCUGGCCUAAUACUGACACUGAGGUGCGAAAGCAUGGGGAGCAAACAGGAUUAGAAACCCUGGUAGUCC
RNAcentral lists this ribosomal RNA (451 nucleotides) under uncultured bacterium. RNAcentral's name for it is "bacterial SSU rRNA". It matches the Rfam family "Bacterial small subunit ribosomal RNA", at positions 354 to 796 of the family's 1533-position model. The record is from RNAcentral.